CGGCACCGCCCCCGCCUUCGGCAUCCGCCCAGCGCCCUGACCCCUCCUGCCCUCUACCCGCAUCCCCCGCGGCGCCCAAACCCCUUCGCCCUCUGCCCCAUCCCCCACAGCGCCCCGAUCCCUCCGCCCUCUGCCCACAUCCCCCGCAGCUCCCUGACUCCAUCUGCCCUCUGCCCACAUCUCCUGCAGUGCCCCGACCUCUCAGCCCACAUCCCCCACAGCAUCCUGACCCCAUCUACCCUCUGUCCCCAUUGCCUGUGGCAUCCUGACCCCAUCCGCCCUCUGCCCACAUCCGCCGCAGCACCCUGACCCCCAUCUGUCAAUGCCCGCAUCCGCCGCAGCACCCUGACCCCCAUCUGUCAAUGCCCGCAUCCCCCGCAGUGCCCUGACCACAUUAACCGUCUGCCCACAUCCCGUGUAGCACCCUAAGCCCCAUCAACCCUCUCCCAGAAUCCCCUAUAGCACCCUGAGCCCCAUCAACCCUCUCCUAGCAUCCCCUAUAGCACCCUGGCCGCUCUCCCCCCCUUCAACCUGGGGAAAUGUGUGAACCUAGAAAAUUGGUUUGAAUGAAAUAGGAAAUUGACCAGAACAUUUCCCCUACAAUUUGAACUGAACCCAUAGUUAUUUUUAAGCCGCAAAAUGUAACGUUGACCUUUUUUUCUGUCCAAAAUUAUUUUUAUAUAGAGUGACUAGAUGUCUUUGUUUACUGGAAUGGCACUGGCUUGAUGGGAAAGACCCACAGUUCCAGGAGGUUUUAUUGAAAAUAGGGCCAUACUGUUAGGAGGAAGGGUAGGAAGAAGGAGCAGAGGCAAAAAUUGCCUGUUGAGCAUGGCUUCUACCUCAGCUGAUCUGGAGGCCCCCUUCUGCAGACCACAGUCAGAACUCCCACUAGAGUGGGCGGGUACUGUAGUUCCUAACCCUUUGUCCAUAGUGGGUUGUGGGAGCACUUGUCUGCCUGUCCCAUGGGAGUUGACCAGUAAUGUUCUGUGUAGUUUUAAAUCAUGAACACCUCCAGCAGAACCAUUUUGUGUCUGCAUACUCCCUGCAGCCAGAGCCAACAUGGAGCCUGACCUGGUAGAAUGUCUCUAUCUCCUGCUCUCCGUUCUAUUUCAGUACACAGACAGAGCAUCUGCAAGAUGCUGGUGAAUGUUUCUGGUGUCAGUUUUUGAACUGCCAAAGGCACCUCUCUAAGGGGGAUACUGACAUGCCAGCUCCAAACUUGUUGAUGCGGCUCAUGCCUAUUUCUGCCUUAGCCACAGAUUCCCACUAUGUAGACUGGUUCUUCUGGGGCAGGGCCACAGGAACAGACUGGUGGGAUCACAUCAUCAUGCGGACUUGGGAUGGCCAGCAGUGGAUCCAGAACUUUAGCAUGAAGAAGCAGAUGUUCCUGGAGGUUCCCUGGUUCCAUCUGAGGGAUCCAGCAGUCCUGCUGUGCUGUGCUACCCUAAGGAGCAGACAUCAGUGAAUCAAGCUGCCAGAAAUGAUACUGUAACCAUCACUUGGUUGUAUUCAGUUUCCUUAUUGGUACAGCCUGCCUUAUUUUGUAAUUUGCCUGAUCAUUAUCUGUUUACCUUGUUUAUCCUGGGAGUUCUUGCCAUCCCC
Caretta caretta (loggerhead turtle) is the source of this 1602-nucleotide non-coding RNA. The record is from RefSeq and is a predicted model, not a curated record. Lineage: Eukaryota; Metazoa; Chordata; Testudines; Cheloniidae.